This 507-nucleotide unclassified non-coding RNA is filed under the name uncultured Entrophospora. RNAcentral's name for it is "SSU rRNA". It matches the Rfam family "Eukaryotic small subunit ribosomal RNA", at positions 591 to 1092 of the family's 1831-position model. Lineage: Eukaryota; Fungi; Glomeromycota; Glomeromycetes; Entrophosporales; Entrophosporaceae. The record is from RNAcentral.
CCAAUAGCGUAUAUUAAAGUUGUUGCAGUUAAAAAGCUCGUAGUUGAAUUUCGGGAUUGGCGCAUCGGUCGUGCCUUACGGGGUAUGAACUGGUGCAGUCAAUUUCUCACCUUCUGGAGAACCGCGAUGUCCUUAAUUGGGUGCCGCGGGGAACCAGGACCUUUACUUUGAAAAAAUUAGAGUGUUUAAAGCAGGCAUUUUUGCUUGAAUACAUUAGCAUGGAAUAAUAAAAUAGGACGGCAUGGUUCUAUUUUGUUGGUUUCUAGGACCACCGUAAUGAUUAAUAGGGAUAGUUGGGGGCAUUAGUAUUCAAUUGUCAGAGGUGAAAUUCUUGGAUUUAUUGAAGACUAACUACUGCGAAAGCAUUUGCCAAGGAUGUUUUCAUUAAUCAAGAACGAAAGUUAGGGGAUCGAAGACGAUCAGAUACCGUCGUAGUCUUAACCAUAAACUAUGCCGACUAGGGAUCGGAUGAUGUUAAUUUUUUAAUGACUCAUUCGGCGCCUUACG